GAUCAAAUACUUUUUUCCCUCACUGUAUGAAGAGGCUCGCCGUAAGCUUCCUAUGGCUGUGGUCCAAUCUGAUCUUCAGACUGAGGAGGAGGAUGACCACCCCGCAUAUAUGAAGAGAAAAGGAAGGGGCACAAAUACGCAAAUAUUCAGUGCCACUGAAAGUGAGGAUGAGGAGCCAAAAGGAAAAGUUUCCACGCAAGGGCCAGUCAAACACCUCUAAGGGUUUGCCACCUGCACCAGUUAUCAGACCUGCAGAGGACAGAAGAGACACCUGGGAAUUCUGAUAGGCCAACAAGGAUUGAGCCAAACAUUCAACAACAGCAGCAGCCAGUGUGUGAUCCAAUUCUUCGUGAGAACUUAACCUCCAUAGAAAUGAUUAAGCAACAGCAAAAGCUGAUUUUGCUGCAGCUGCAAAACCUCCAGGCGAACAGAUCAACCCUGGAUGAGGUUCCAGAUUUGACAGACCUUCGUCUUCCAAUGUCCUCGCUGGAAGACUUGAGGAGAAUUGAGGGCCAACUUUCAGAUCAAGACUUAAAAAAUAACCUGACCAUAUAUUUGGGACUGUCUGGAAAAUGUGUGGAGAAUCAUCUCAAAACUCCUUACAAAUGGCCUGGCCAUGAACAUUAAUUGGAGAGGGGCCAAUGGGAAACAGGCUUUUGAACCUCUUGCCUUAAAAAGUGUUGUUAUCGGUCGCAGUUGUAAAUGAGAACUUGUUCUCAACUGG
Coregonus clupeaformis (lake whitefish) is the source of this 724-nucleotide long non-coding RNA. RefSeq lists it as uncharacterized. The record is from RefSeq and is a predicted model, not a curated record. The transcript has 5 exons. NCBI's taxonomy places the organism in Eukaryota, Metazoa, Chordata, Actinopteri, Salmoniformes, Salmonidae.